This 572-nucleotide ribosomal RNA is filed under the name Pallidophorina paarla. Its description in RNAcentral is "partial large subunit ribosomal RNA". It matches the Rfam family "Eukaryotic large subunit ribosomal RNA", at positions 76 to 666 of the family's 3401-position model. Lineage: Eukaryota; Fungi; Ascomycota; Leotiomycetes; Phacidiales. The record is from RNAcentral.
UACCUCAGUAACGGCGAGUGAAGCGGUAACAGCUCAAAUUUGAAAUCUGGCCUCACGGUCCGAGUUGUAAUUUGUAGAGGAUGCUUCGGGCGUGGUCCGGUCUAAGUUCCUUGGAACAGGACGUCAUAGAGGGUGAGAAUCCCGUAUGUGACCGGGUGCCGCUGUCCAUGUGAAGCUCCUUCGACGAGUCGAGUUGUUUGGGAAUGCAGCUCAAAAUGGGUGGUAAAUUUCAUCUAAAGCUAAAUAUUGGCCAGAGACCGAUAGCGCACAAGUAGAGUGAUCGAAAGACGAAAAGCACUUUGGAAAGAGAGUUAAACAGUACGUGAAAUUGUUGAAAGGGAAGCGCUUGCAACCAGACUUGCACGCGGUCGAUCAUCCUGCCUUCUGGCUGGUGCACUCGAUCGCGUUCAGGCCAGCAUCGGUUUUGGUGGUUGGAUAAAGGCUCUGGGAAUGUAGCUUCUCUCGGGGAGUGUUAUAGCCCAGGGUGCAAUGCAGCCUACCGGGACCGAGGACCGCGCUUCGGCUAGGAUGCUGGCGUAAUGGUUGUAAGCGACCCGUCUUGAAACACGGAC